GAUGAACGUUGGCGGCGUGCUUAACACAUGCAAGUCGAACGGUGAAGCAGAGCUUGCUCUGUGGAUCAGUGGCGAACGGGUGAGUAACACGUGAGCAACCUGCCCCUGACUCUGGGAUAAGCGCUGGAAACGGCGUCUAAUACUGGAUAUGAGCUGCGACCGCAUGGUCAGCAGUUGGAAAGAUUUUUCGGUCUGGGAUAGGCUCACGGCCUAUCAGCUUGUUGGCGAGGUAAUGGCUCACCAAGGCGUCGACGGGUAGCCGGCCUGAGAGGGUGACCGGCCACACUGGGACUGAGACACGGCCCAGACUCCUACGGGAGGCAGCAGUGGGGAAUAUUGCACAAUGGGCGAAAGCCUGAUGCAGCAACGCCGCGUGAGGGAUGACGGCCUUCGGGUUGUAAACCUCUUUUAGCAGGGAAGAAGCGAAAGUGACGGUACCUGCAGAAAAAGCGCCGGCUAACUACGUG
RNAcentral lists this ribosomal RNA (467 nucleotides) under uncultured bacterium. RNAcentral describes it as "partial 16S ribosomal RNA". It matches the Rfam family "Bacterial small subunit ribosomal RNA", at positions 28 to 507 of the family's 1533-position model. The record is from RNAcentral.